AGUGAACGCUAGCGGUAGGCCUAACACAUGCAAGUCGAACGGCAGCACAGUAAGAGCUUGCUCUUACGGGUGGCGAGUGGCGGACGGGUGAGGAAUACAUCGGAAUCUACUUUUUCGUGGGGGAUAACGUAGGGAAACUUACGCUAAUACCGCAUACGACCUACGGGUGAAAGCAGGGGAUCUUCGGACCUUGCGCGAUUGAAUGAGCCGGUGUCGGAUUAGCUAGUUGGCGGGGUAAAGGCCCACCAAGGCGACGAUCCGUAGCUGGUCUGAGAGGAUGAUCGGCCACACUGGAACUGAGACACGGUCCAGACUCCUACGGGAGGCAGCAGUGGGGAAUAUUGGACAAUGGGCGCAAGCCUGAUCCAGCCAUACCGCGUGGGUGAAGAAGGCCUUCGGGUUGUAAAGCCCUUUUGUUGGGAGAGAAAAGCAGCAGGUUAAUACCCCGCUGUUCUGACGGUACCCAAAGAAUAAGCACCGGCUAACUUCGUG
Molecule: ribosomal RNA, 492 nt
Filed under: uncultured bacterium
Lineage: Bacteria
Description: partial 16S ribosomal RNA
Rfam family: Bacterial small subunit ribosomal RNA
Source: RNAcentral